Molecule: ribosomal RNA, 382 nt
Filed under: uncultured eukaryote
Lineage: Eukaryota
Description: partial 18S ribosomal RNA
Rfam family: Eukaryotic small subunit ribosomal RNA
Source: RNAcentral
UGUAAGCGUAUACCAAAGUUGUUGCAGUUAAAACGCUCGUAGUCGGAAUUUGGCAGUUCCGGAUGUGUGCACGUCGUGUGCGCACUUCGCGGGGAUUGCUUUUGUGGUCUUGCGUAGGAUGAGGCACUUUUAUUAGUGAACGUCCUCACGCAACCACUUUAUACUGUGAGAAAAUCAGAGUGCUCAAAGCAGGCAUUUGCCGUGAAUGUAUUAGCAUGGAAUAAUAGAAUAGGACUUGGUUCUAUUUUGUUGGUUUGUUGGGACUGAGUAAUGAUUAAGAGGGACAGUUGGGGGCAUUUGUAUUUCGGUGCUAGAGGUGAAAUUCUUAGAUUACCGAAAGACAAACUGCUGCGAAAGCGUCUGCCAAGGAUGUUUUCAUUGA